AAGCCAGGGCAGAGACACAACCACCUCUGCAGGAGAAACUGCUGCCAGCCAUGGCAUCCGCCUUGGCAGGAAAAUCCGUUCAUCCCUUCAUGACCCCACUGAGCUACAACUUCACUAAAAACCAUUA
This is a long non-coding RNA of Aquila chrysaetos chrysaetos, 127 nucleotides long. RefSeq lists it as uncharacterized. The record is from RefSeq and is a predicted model, not a curated record. The transcript has 3 exons. Lineage: Eukaryota; Metazoa; Chordata; Aves; Accipitriformes; Accipitridae.